This 334-nucleotide unclassified non-coding RNA is filed under the name soil metagenome. RNAcentral describes it as "partial contains 5.8S ribosomal RNA, internal transcribed spacer 2, and large subunit ribosomal RNA". The stretch from base 1 to 120 matches the Rfam family "5.8S ribosomal RNA", at positions 35 to 154 of the family's 154-position model. The record is from RNAcentral.
GAUGAAGAACGUAGCGAAAUGCGAUAAGUAGUGUGAAUUGCAGAAUUCAGUGAAUCAUCGAAUCUUUGAACGCACAUUGCGCCCCUUGGUAUUCCAUGGGGCCUGCCUGUUCGAGCGUCAUUUGUACCUUCAAGCUUUGCUUGGUGUUGGGUGUUUGUCCAUUCUCUUGCAGAGGGACUCGCCUUAAAGUAAUUGGCAGCCAGUGUUUUGGUUUUGAAGCGCAGCACAAGUCGCGAUUCAACGCUAUACGCCAGCUUCCACAAGCCUUUUUCACUUUUGACCUCGGAUCAGGUAGGGAUACCCGCUGAACUUAAGCAUAUCAAUAAGCGGAGGA